GAUGAACGCUGGCGGCGUGCCUAAUACAUGCAAGUCGAGCGAACAGACGAGGAGCUUGCUCCUCUGACGUUAGCGGCGGACGGGUGAGUAACACGUGGAUAACCUACCUAUAAGACUGGGAUAACUUCGGGAAACCGGAGCUAAUACCGGAUAAUAUAUUGAACCGCAUGGUUCAAUAGUGAAAGACGGUUUUGCUGUCACUUAUAGAUGGAUCCGCGCCGCAUUAGCUAGUUGGUAAGGUAACGGCUUACCAAGGCAACGAUGCGUAGCCGACCUGAGAGGGUGAUCGGCCACACUGGAACUGAGACACGGUCCAGACUCCUACGGGAGGCAGCAGUAGGGAAUCUUCCGCAAUGGGCGAAAGCCUGACGGAGCAACGCCGCGUGAGUGAUGAAGGUCUUCGGAUCGUAAAACUCUGUUAUUAGGGGAGAACAAAUGUGUAAGUAACUAUGCACGUCUUGACGGUACCUAAUCAGAAAGCCACGGCUAACUACGU
RNAcentral lists this ribosomal RNA (496 nucleotides) under uncultured bacterium. Its description in RNAcentral is "partial 16S ribosomal RNA". It matches the Rfam family "Bacterial small subunit ribosomal RNA", at positions 28 to 506 of the family's 1533-position model. The record is from RNAcentral.